UACGGGGGGGGCAAGCGUUGUUCGGAAUUACUGGGCGUAAAGGGUUUGUAGGUGGCUGGCUAAGCCACACGUGAAAUCCCUCAGCUUAACUGGGGAACUGCGUGUGGGACUGGCGAGCUUGAGGACAGGAGAGGAACGCGGAAUUCCAGGUGUAGCGGUGAAAUGCGUAGAUAUCUGGAGGAAUACCAGUGGCGAAGGCGGCUUACUGGCUCAUUCCUGACGCUGAGGAGCGAAAGCGUGGGGAGCAAACGGG
Molecule: ribosomal RNA, 253 nt
Filed under: uncultured bacterium
Lineage: Bacteria
Description: partial 16S ribosomal RNA
Rfam family: Bacterial small subunit ribosomal RNA
Source: RNAcentral